This 4193-nucleotide long non-coding RNA is filed under the name Brassica napus (rape). Its description in RNAcentral is "long non-coding RNA (BNAP_LNC003865)". Lineage: Eukaryota; Viridiplantae; Streptophyta; Magnoliopsida; Brassicales; Brassicaceae. The record is from RNAcentral.
CCAAGUUGCAAAACGUAAACACCUUUGAUUAUUUAUUUCAAGUGUUCUCCCUAAGAAGCCAUAAUAAAAAGGCAAAUAGUUUUUGUUUUAAUAGAAAAAUACAAAAAAAAAUUGAGUUGCAAUCAAAAUGUGAUACAUGACAUUUAGGCCAUUAGCGUUCAAAACUCUGAAAAUGGCCACCAAAUUCCACAUUGAUCAAUGUAUAAAACCAAAAAGCAAAAGGAAACAGACAUACAAGUCUCUGUUCAACCCAACUUAGCCUUGAGGGAAGCAAUGGGAAUCUUGGAAACAACCUUUUCAUCGAACACAAGGUAAUGUUUGUGCAACUCCUUGAACGCUUUCUCUGCGAACGGAUCAACCUUGUCCUCGUGUUUCUCGUACAUCAUUGGCACUGUGUGCAACAACACGAAGCAGAUGUACACCAGAGUCAGGAAGUUGCACCAGUUCCCCACCACCGAGAUGAUCCAUAGACCAACCACAACCUAAAUACAACAUUAACAAUGUAAAUGUGCUACGAACUUAAAAACCAUUUUCUAGAUUGUUUCUUGAGGCUGCAAAUGUCAGUAACAAGGAAGUAGUAAACAUACCAUGAGGAACUUUUUAUUGUUGACGAGAGUUCUCCUUGGGAGGAGAAGUCUGCGGCGGCGAGAUUGAGUUGUAGGAUGAAGAAGUCGAAAAGGAAUAAACUUUGGAAGAAGAAGAAGAGACGGUGCGUUGCAGAGAUGCGUGCUAAGGUAGGGGUUUGAUUGAAAGCUCUGUUUAGGUUGUAUUGUAGUAUUUUGAGUUGUUGAUUGUAUUAUAGGAGCCUGAGAGAUUUGAACAAGCUGAUCGAGAGGCUGAUGAGUGGAGGGAAAAGGAAAUGGCCAAGGACAUGGCUAACAGAAAGGUAAUAAGUGGUGAAGCGAUCAAAUGGUUUCCUCGUGUUGGUAUCUGAACGGGUUCUGUCUGUUUUCAGGUUGAUGAGAUGAAGGCAAUUGAGAAGGUCAAGGCGAAACGAGAAAGAAGGAGAUUAGAACCCGAGGUGAGACAUCUCAAUGUUAUCUUACGAAUUCAUGUUUGGUUACGGUAAACAGUCUCAUGGUUUGAAUGUUUUCAGCUUGAACUAGCUCUAAUUGUUGAGGAAAUGCAAGAGUUGCGUUCGCUAAGAAUCGAGAAACUAAAGAAGCAAGGUAUGUCAAUAAUCUGAAGUAGUGCAAUGCGUUCUGAUACCAAGACUAGGACUCUCAAGUAAAGGGGUAAUAUCAUAUGGACACUGUGCAGGGCAUUUUUUUCCGGAAGAAGAUGACAAGUUCUUCGAUAGUGUUCGCGCUGCUGUGGAGCAAGAGGAGAAUCAAGCUCAGUCUGUAAUCAACACAGAGAACGAAGAGAAUGUCAUUGCCUCCGAGGAAGCCACUAAUCUAACAACCGAUAACAAAAUCAUCAACAAUGACACGGAUAAAGAAAGCAAUACUGUCUUAGGGGCGGCUUGUGAAAAGAAAAUAGAAGCUCCUCCUCCUGACAAUGGUGUCGACAAUGUAUCAAAUUUACCGGUGGAAUGUUAUCACUACUACUACGGAAGCAAUUUGGACAUGGGAAGGCUUAUUGAGGUGGGUUUUGUUUAACUCUCUGUCUAAGUUUAUUUAUUAGAUCAAAGAUUUAGCUGAGUUAUGGUUUUAAAAUACAGAUUAGAAGAGAAUGGGAUGCAUAUCUGAGUCCAGGAGGAAGGUAAUAUCAGCAUUUAUUUGUUUCCUCACACUUUUAGACAAGCUUUAAAUGUUUCUCUUGAGAAAAUGGUCUUGUUUUCAUCUAUACAGCCGGAUUCCUGGACAUUGGGUGCAGCCAUCGGCACCAGCUAAUGAGAUUUGGGCUUCUUGUCUUGUUAAAAACUCCAAAGAGUGAUCUUAGUUAGUAGGCGGUCGUAUUCUAGUAGACAGGACAAUGUUAAUCUUAAACUAGAGUUCCAUAAAUAUUGUUGCUGGAGAAAUCUUAAGUUAGUGUCGAUCCUGUUUUAAAACAUACCAACUCAUGGAUAACGAUUUUGUUAGUUUGAUGAAUGGAUUCUGUAGUAGCUUAAACAAAGACUGUAGUAGCUUAAGGAAAAAUUUGUAGGAGAAUAUGAAGGUUGAAACAGAGGUUCACACUUGAUGUAAUAAGGGUUUUUUUUGAUGAAUAAAUUUAACAUUCAUUCAAAAAAAAAAAGAAUGGAUUCUGUAAGCCAGGACAAUGCUGAUCUUAGCUCGUAUAUAAUGGAUUCUCACUCAUACAUAACUAUUUCUUUUGUCCGAAAACAAAACUAUUGUUGAUUUAAAUAAUCUUGUCAGCAACAGUUCCAAAAACUGCUGAAGAUGAGAUCUGUAGAUCGAACGAAUUAUCGGUAUUUCUAGCUUAUAAUAAAUGCCUCAAUGGACCCAAUAUUUUGCUUUUAAGAUAGUAUUAUUCAGCUAAUUAACAAUUAAUUCAAUCUUCAAAAUAAUAAAUUCGUUAAUUCAACUCAAGAACAUUAAAUUGUUGUUUGUAUUUAAAUUAUGUUAUGCAUAUUUCACUAGCCAGGUAAGUUUACGAUGAAAUACUCAGUUGUUAGGUUAAGAACUUUGAAAUAGUGUAUAUGAGUUGGUCAAUUGUCCUGUUCAAUUGGCAUGCCGGUCUUGUCGGAAGUGCAGAUUCAUGUAAUAAUCGUGACAAGGCAACACAGAAGUCCUCCCAAGUGUACGAAUCAAAUAUCUUUCUACCACUCCCAUCCACUCAAAAAAUGUCAUAUUAAAGGGUAUUUGGAUAAAAAAGAAAACAAAAAUGUGGGGAAGAUGAUUGUUGAGCUAUUCAAUAGAGAAAGUGAAUCACAACUGCCCAUCUGCCCCUAAUUGAUUUUGCAUGGGAAAUCUUUCGUACAAAGUGCAUUAUUAGCACUAAGCCGAUACACACUAUCCCUGCUUUUCUCGAAACAUACACAUCAACAAUUUACACCAAGAACUCACGACAAUCCUGUAACAACAGAUAAUCAACGAUCUCUUGGAGAGACUUAAUCUACGAAGGUUAAAUAAAUUUGUUAGAGAAGCCUCAUUUCAUGAGCUUUACUCGCUUCCCUGCUGGGUCCUUCGAUCUUCUUAAUUUAAAAAAAAGGAAAAUUUAAUCGAAAAAUUAAAAGAAAUCAGGAAUUGAAACCACAGAUUCCGACAAAUCUCCGAUAAUGAAUUAUACGAAGGUAAACUUGGCUUGAAUACGCAUUGAAUUUACAGCGUUUCACCCAUAGGUCCUUCGUUAACAAUUAAAAAAUUAGAAAUGCUCAGCGAAUACGAACCAUAAUGUAAUCGGAUUUCAUCUCGCGAACGAUCAACUAUUUUUUCCGAUAUUAACUCUUCAUCGCAUCUCAAAGUAAAGAAAAGAAAUUUCAAUAACAUAACAAAAGUUGACAGAAAAAAAAAAGAGAGAUCUAAUUCGAAUGCGGCGAGGAAGAGGAGCUGAUGAAGUUAUUUUGUAUCGUUAGAUCUGUUUAUAUAGAGGCGUGUAUUAGGGCUACUGCGACGUAUCAUAGCCGUUGGAUUAGGCCCAUAUUUAUGAUCUGGACUUUUACUUCAAGCCCAUCUUUACGCAACGAAUAUGUGCUGUUGAAGACUGUGGCCCAAGUAACUUAUUGGGCCUGAAUUAUAAAUCACAGAAUGGUCACCCGUAGUUGAUGACCCGGCAAAUCAUGAAUAUGUUUGCGAAAAAAACACCUUUGGUUAUUUGAUUUUUCUUCAGUUUGGCUUGGUCAAUUUAUACCAAGUUGCAAAACGUAAACACCUUUGAUUAUUUAUUUCAAGUGUUCUCCCUAAGAAGCCAUAAUAAAAAGGCAAAUAGUUUUUGUUUUAAUAGAAAAAUACAAAAAAAAAUUGAGUUGCAAUCAAAAUGUGAUACAUGACAUUUAGGCCAUUAGCGUUCAAAACUCUGAAAAUGGCCACCAAAUUCCACAUUGAUCAAUGUAUAAAACCAAAAAGCAAAAGGAAACAGACAUACAAGUCUCUGUUCAACCCAACUUAGCCUUGAGGGAAGCAAUGGGAAUCUUGGAAACAACCUUUUCAUCGAACACAAGGUAAUGUUUGUGCAACUCCUUGAACGCUUUCUCUGCGAACGGAUCAACCUUGUCCUCGUGUUUCUCGUACAUCAUUGGCACUGUGUGCAACAACACGAAGCAGAUGUACACCAGAGUCAGGAAGUUGCACCAGUUCCCCACCACCGAG